GUUCUUAUGUUCUUAUGUUCUUAUCUAUAGUAUGAUUGCCGAGUUCCUUGUCCGAAACUUGGAAAGAAUCACACUGUGAUGAUGUAGCUAAGUGCAAGCCUCUGAGCGCGAAGCAGUUCUAGGUCCCUGAUCUAGGACUUUGAUGACCGUUCAUUCUCGGUUUACCGGUGUAAGGAGGCUUGCACAGGCUGAGCAGU
Procambarus clarkii (red swamp crayfish) is the source of this 197-nucleotide small nucleolar RNA. RefSeq annotates it as small nucleolar RNA U3. NCBI's taxonomy places the organism in Eukaryota, Metazoa, Arthropoda, Malacostraca, Decapoda, Cambaridae. The record is from RefSeq and is a predicted model, not a curated record.